UACGUAGGGUGCGAGCGUUAAUCGGAAUAACUGGGCGUAAAGGGCGCGUAGGCGGCCAUCUAAGUCAGACGUGAAAUCCCCCGGCUUAACCUGGGAACUGCGUCUGAUACUGGACGGCUCGAGUAUGGGAGAGGGAUGUAGAAUUCCAGGUGUAGCGGUGAAAUGCGUAGAUAUCAUGAGGAAUACCAGAGGCGAAGGCGGCUACCUGGACAAUUGCUGACGCUCAGGCACGAAAGCGUGGGGAGCAAAAGGG
RNAcentral lists this ribosomal RNA (253 nucleotides) under uncultured prokaryote. RNAcentral's name for it is "partial 16S ribosomal RNA". It matches the Rfam family "Bacterial small subunit ribosomal RNA", at positions 524 to 776 of the family's 1533-position model. The record is from RNAcentral.